AAUGGAGAGCAAAUGCUUAAAACAGGGAGGACCAGGUCUCUGGACAAGGCCACAGAGGAGCCCGAGCUGCUGUGGGGGUGGCCAACAACUGUGCUUGGCAGGAAGCAGGUGCUUGGGAAGAAGUUGGGGCAGCAGAGAAAUGGGACGCAGUCGGCACCACUGUGGAACAUUUAGUUUGCGGGGACUCUGAAGAAAGGAAGCACCAAGGGAAAGUCAGAGCUGGCACCACUCGCUUCCUCCGAUCUGCGCCUCUGGAUGGUAGAACGUGGGGAAGACGCUGGAGCUUUGCUUCCAUUCCACGCUGACCACUGGCUAUCUUUGAAGAUCUCUGGAGCAGCGGUACUGAGAGCAAAGCUAAUCUGUGCCCCAAGCCCCUCAGUGCCUUGCCACCUGACAAGGUGAAGGAGGCUGUGGGAGCUGGGAGAAAGGGCUGCAUGGAGGGGUGGGCACCCUGGCAACAACUAUCUGGAUGGGAAAUGUGCACAUCCCCACUGACACUGUAAACACGCCAUAGAUGCUGUGGUGCGUGCCUGUAGUCCUGUUAUUGUGGGAAGCUGAGGCAGGAGGAUCGCAAGGUUGAGACCAGCCUGAGCAACAUAGUGACUUAGCAAGACCUUGUAUCAAAAUAAAACAUAAUAAAGGGCUGCAGAUUUAGCUCAGUGCAAAGGCCUUAGGUUCAAUUCCCAACACUGCUCUUCCUUUCCUCAAAAAUACCAGAG
Molecule: long non-coding RNA, 719 nt
Filed under: Fukomys damarensis (Damara mole-rat)
Lineage: Eukaryota; Metazoa; Chordata; Mammalia; Rodentia; Bathyergidae
Description: lncRNA (ENSFDAG00000033311.1)
Source: RNAcentral